CUGGCCCUGAUUCAAGGCCAGCAGCUUCCUGACACUGUUGGUUUCAAGCAGAAGCCUGCAGAAAUGUCUAUUAUGUUAGCCAUUUCGGAACUUUGGCAGCAAAAUGGUCAACUCAUUAGAAAGAAACAGCU
This is a small nucleolar RNA of Cavia porcellus (domestic guinea pig), 131 nucleotides long. Lineage: Eukaryota; Metazoa; Chordata; Mammalia; Rodentia; Caviidae. The record is from Ensembl.